AUGAGAUAGCUAUCUAACCUUACAAACAUUUACAACUUCCAGAUCUUAACUAGCAUCUAUUAUGAUCUUCCACACAUAUUUAAUAAUCAGCAUAAUGAACUACAAGUCAGUACUACUACAUUAUUCUAUAUCCAAAAAGAGAAUAGUAAGAGACAUAAAACAAUUAAAUUUAAUCAUAUGCUUUUCAAAUGUAGAGACAUCAAACACACAAUUGUAUUAUUACAAAUCUUGAUUUGAGUACACCAAACUUCAGAUUCACCCCUUAUCACACAUUAGAAGGUGAGAUGAAUACCUGGAAAAAGACGAAUAAGAGUGAAUUGAGAAGAGCAACAGCCAACAACAUUAAACAAACCCAGAUCCAACUAGUUUUCUAAACCUAGAAAAUGAAGCAAACAGUCCAGAAAAUCAAUUUCAAAUCCAGCAAUAAAAGUCGAACCAGAAAUAUAGCAAAAGCACUUGAACACCAACUGAUUCAACUCAUUUUAAUCUUCGGUUGCUCGAAAAUUAACUCGGAAUGAAUAUCACAGGAAUUUCUAAAGAUCUUUUUCAAUAGAACAGUAAAUUAUUUUUUUUGUAUUUUUAGCCAUCUGGGAUUUUAGGGAUUUC
RNAcentral lists this long non-coding RNA (606 nucleotides) under Nicotiana benthamiana. Its description in RNAcentral is "long non-coding RNA (NBEN_LNC034326)". Lineage: Eukaryota; Viridiplantae; Streptophyta; Magnoliopsida; Solanales; Solanaceae. The record is from RNAcentral.